Molecule: ribosomal RNA, 253 nt
Filed under: uncultured bacterium
Lineage: Bacteria
Description: partial 16S ribosomal RNA
Rfam family: Bacterial small subunit ribosomal RNA
Source: RNAcentral
UACGAAGGGUGCAAGCGUUGUUCGGAAUUAUUGGGCGUAAAGCGUUCGCAGGCGGGAACAUAUGUCAAGUGUGAAAUCCCUGAGCUUAACUCAGGACGUGCAUUUGAAACUGUGUUUCUUGAAUGCUGGAGAGGGUCGUGGAAUUGCUGGUGUAGGAGUGACAUCCGUAGAGAUCAGCAGGAACACCGGAGGCGAAAGCGACGACCUGGCCAGACAUUGACGCUCAGGAACGAAAGCGUGGGGAGCAAACAGG